UCCCCACAAGCGUUAUAAAACAUGACCACCAGAGUCCCCUCAUCAAAGCCAUGGGACGGGCACUUUCUCAACUUCUCCUGGUAUCUCUCCCAUGUCUCUGCUAGUGUCUCUCCAUCGAACUGUUGGAAUUGGAGAAUCUCCAUCUUUAACUUCAAUGUGAGCCCGGGAGGAUGGAACUUCCGCAGGAAAAGAUCCGCCACAUCCCCCCAUACCGGAUUAGCUCCC
This 225-nucleotide long non-coding RNA is filed under the name Salvia miltiorrhiza (redroot sage). RNAcentral describes it as "long non-coding RNA (SMIL_LNC013102)". The record is from RNAcentral. Lineage: Eukaryota; Viridiplantae; Streptophyta; Magnoliopsida; Lamiales; Lamiaceae.